CUAUGUAGCAAGGUUAAGUACUUAAGGUAUGGAGCCGAAGGGAAACCGAGUCUGAAAAGGGCGAAAAGUUGCAUGGGGUAGACCCGAAACCGGGUGACCUAUCCAUGGCCAGGUUGAAGCGAGAGUAAAAUCUCGUGGAGGACCGAACCACGUUGGUGUUGAAAAACCAUGGGAUGAGCUGUGGAUAGCGGAGAAAUUCCAAUC
Molecule: ribosomal RNA, 204 nt
Filed under: Clostridium botulinum
Lineage: Bacteria; Bacillati; Bacillota; Clostridia; Eubacteriales; Clostridiaceae
Description: partial 23S ribosomal RNA
Rfam family: Bacterial large subunit ribosomal RNA
Source: RNAcentral